This 253-nucleotide ribosomal RNA is filed under the name uncultured bacterium. RNAcentral's name for it is "partial 16S ribosomal RNA". It matches the Rfam family "Bacterial small subunit ribosomal RNA", at positions 524 to 776 of the family's 1533-position model. The record is from RNAcentral.
UACAGAGGUCCCGAGCGUUGUUCGGAUUCAUUGGGCGUAAAGGGUGCGUAGGCGGCUGGGUAAGUUUGAUGUGAAAUCCUGGGGCUCAACCCUGGAACUGCAUUGAAUACUGCUCGGCUAGAGUACUGGAGAGGAAACUGGAAUUCACGGUGUAGCAGUGAAAUGCGUAGAUAUCGUGAGGAAGACCAGUGGCGAAGGCGAGUUUCUGGACAGUUACUGACGCUGAGGCACGAAGGCCAGGGGAGCAAACGGG